RNAcentral lists this ribosomal RNA (492 nucleotides) under uncultured bacterium. RNAcentral's name for it is "partial 16S ribosomal RNA". It matches the Rfam family "Bacterial small subunit ribosomal RNA", at positions 29 to 507 of the family's 1533-position model. The record is from RNAcentral.
AGUGAACGCUGGCGGUAGGCCUAACACAUGCAAGUCGAACGGCAGCACAGUAAGAGCUUGCUCUUACGGGUGGCGAGUGGCGGACGGGUGAGGAAUACAUCGGCAUCUACUUUUUCGUGGGGGAUAACGUAGGGACACUUACGCUAAUACCGCAUACGACCUACGGGUUAAAGCAGGGGAUCUUCGCACCUUGCGCGAUUGAAUGAGCCGAUGUCGGAUUAGCUAGUUGGCGGGGUAAAGGCACACCAAGGCGACGAUGCGUAGCUGGUCUGAGAGGAUGAUCAGCCACACUGGAACUGAGACACGGUCCAGACUCCUACGGGAGGCAGCAGUGGGGAAUAUUGGACAAUGGGCGAAAGCCUGACCGAGCAAUGCCGCGUGAGUGAUGAAGGCCUUCGGGUCGUAAAGCCCUGUUGUUGGGAAAGAAAAGAUGUAGGAGAAUACCCCGCCGUCUUGACGGUACCCAAAGAGUAAGCCCCGGCUAACUUCGUG